Molecule: unclassified non-coding RNA, 5115 nt
Filed under: Leishmania donovani
Lineage: Eukaryota; Euglenozoa; Kinetoplastea; Trypanosomatida; Trypanosomatidae
Description: gene:LdHU3.22.1680(CDS-product:hypothetical_prote in_conserved)
Source: RNAcentral
CAGUUACUCGCACGGAAUCUGCACCAUCUCCCAUGCGUGGCGGGGACGCAUGGGUUAGAUCAAAAAGCACAAACAAGAACAUCAAAACUUAGGCACGCGAGAGGGAAAGGAAGAGACAACCAACACGCGCAACGAAAUAGGAAAAGCGCCGACACCCGCAGGAGGGAGGAGGCGCGACGACAAUUCCUUGCCCCUUCCCCCCUUCCCCCUGCUUGUACAUCUACUGAGCGUUUUCAGCCCUAGCCCCUCCCCUUCCCCAUGGUAUGCAUAGAAAACUGAAGUACACACACACACACACACACACACAUAACGCGUGCUCGCAAGUCUCGUGAGCGCGCGCACACUUGAACAGCAACGCCACCUCCCUUGCAGCAGAAGAUCGUCAGCUCUAGACACCAGCUAGUAUGGUCGGAUCCACAAGUGACAGCAGCAUGAGCCAUGGCAGUUGCGGUCACAAACGUAGCGCGGAGAUGGUGCAGACGCGUGAGCUGAAUGCAAGUGGUCGCAUACGCCGCGCCUGUCCAAGUGCUCCGCAGCUUCGCCGUUGGGGGCAAACUCCUUUCAGCGUAGACACGUCGAUUGCCAAUCAAAGCAUUUCGCUCCGUGCAUCGGCGUCUGACGCAUCUGCGCGCCGCCCCUCCUCUCCCAACACCACCUCAGUGUCUCCACUCGCCCGCGGCGAUGUCAUGCGCCGCCCCAGGGCUGCCGUCGUGCGUGCACCCGCGUCAGAGGGGCGUCUCGAAGGCCGAAGUCUAACUAAUCCCUCAGCAUUGCAACCAGAGUCGUUUGGGCCCACUCCACAAACCGUCGACGACGCACAUAUGGUGAACAAUAAGGGCGGGAGCACGGAGGAGCUGUCGUGCGAUGCGGUGGCCCAUGGUCAGCACUCGGCUUCUGCAUCUCCUGUUGUGCAGAUGCCGGCGGCGGCGCCGCCUCGGGCCGCCACGGUGCCAGUCAAAGCAGAAGCGAGGACAUACCACGUGAAUGAGACAGAGGCGGUGGGGCGUGGAGAUGACGAGUCGACUCGCACACAUCUGCGGGAGCCUUGGAUGCCUUCGUCCACCCUCCGAUCCCCAGCAGCAGCGGUACCGCUGCAGCCAGUCGCCCCACCCCCGCCAACCCCCCUCCCCAUCGCUUCCCGCUCUUCUGCGCCAUCGCCUUCAGCAGUAGUGCUCCUGCCGCAGCACCCGCGUGAAGGCAGCAACGCUGCUUCCCGAGAGCCGCCAUCGUCGUCGUCGCCAUCACCGUCACGCCUGCGGCAUUUGCCGCAGGCUACACCAGUGCGAGGUCACAGCGGGAGCCAGGCUGCUGAGGCCGUCCAAGACACCAGCAACUGCUCUCCGCCGAUAGUGUUAUGCGCAUCAUCUGGCACCCCAUCAGUGCUCAUCACGUCAGUGUCUACCGUCGCCGCAGAAGAGGGCGGCCGACGAACAUGGGAGGGAGGUACACGCAGGGCGGCAUCUACGUCCGGUGAUGUUGUCGGAGAAAGGGAUGACGACCUCCCAACGGCGCAAUCCAACGCACCUCUCCCGGCCCGAGAGCUUCUAGAGUGCGCCAAUGGCGGCCACCUCGCCACCUCCACGGUAGCCGACGUGAGCGCUGUAUCGCCGACAACACGCGAUGAGCGGCGGCGCAGGCUUGCAGAUGCGCAGCAGUUGCGUGCCUCAGCGUUCUCUUCCUCCCUGCCCCCAUCGUCUAUCGUGAGCAGCUCUUGCGGCAUGGCGCGUAUUCUGCAGCUGCAGGCGCAGGAGGGCUGGAAGGACGGGCUGCGUGCUGCUCUUCAGCAAGACGCGGGGGUGUGGGUGCGGCAAGUGUGCGAGGAGCAGCGACUCCUGCAAGCGCAGCUGAGCGUCACGCAGGCCAGAGCAGCAGCGCUGGCAAAAGACUUGCAGGAGCUUCGUGACCGUGGAUCGUCUUCGGCUUCUGCUCUCCGGCAUCAGUCACAACCUGCCGAUACCGCGGGCGUGGCGGUUAGCGGAGCUGCAGAGAAGAGCUGCCGGGAGCACACCGCUGCGGAGCGACCGUGUAAUGACGAUAUAAGCGGCAAAUCACGCCUUUUUCAUCUCGCAGAAUUGAGCCCGGAGAGGCCUGCGACACCGGAUGGCGACGACAGAGGUGCGCACACGAGCUCUGCUGCUGAUGGCGACACUGCUGCCGCGUUUGGCACCGCCUACACGCAUGAGCUGGAGGCUUAUGUUCAUCUCCUGGAGCAGCAUACGCACGCGCUGCACUCAGAAAAGUACCAGCUACAGCUGCGGCUUGACCGGCGAACCAGUCAGCUUGCUUCAUCCCAGCAGCGCUACCUGCAGCGCUACGCCAGACUUCUGCAGGAACAGUCAGUGCUAGAGCGCGACUAUCGCAAAGCCACGGAAGACGUGGAGCAGUUAGUGGGAAUGUUGGUGGUGGCUCGCGCUGCCGAACGCGCUGCCAUGCGAAGAGCGGAGGAGUUUGAAUCGGCACUGGAGGAGUCAGAGCUGCGCGCCGAGGCGCUAGCGGCCGCACUGCACCCGCAGGCGAAGGAGAACUGCGGUGGUUACAUCGAGGGGGGCACCGACAGCGUCAAUCCCAUCUCCGACCCCAUCGCUGUUGGGUCUAAUGGCAGCGAGAGCCUGCGUUGCCCGUCCGGCCACGCCUCCGCUCUACCACCAAGCAGCGCCUUUGCGUCGUUCACAGAGCACAAUGAGACAGACAGGAGUAUCAUGGUAAUCGAUGCGCUCGCUGCGGCGUCUGGCAGGCCUUCGGUGGAGCGUCCCCGUGUGCUGGCAUGGCGCUCCAUGAGCGCGUCCUCCUCCAUGUACCCGCCUUUGUCGCCAGGCGCGUCGUCGCUAACUGCGGAGUCGACUUCGUGGACGCCUGUGCGGGCUCCGACAACUGCUGUCGGAUGUGAGUGCAGUCGCGAGGCCGAGCCCCCGUGGGGCCGCAGCGCCUAUUCAUUUUCCGCCGUGCCACUGUCUGCAGAGCCGUCCCCCAUGCGCACGGCAGCAGACGUGGAGAGAAACGGUGCAGUGGGCGGCUGCUCUCCGGAGGUCUGCGUUGCUGCGAGGUUGGCAUUGCGCGAGGCGGGCAUACCUUCUCUGCCGCAACGCGCCCUCUCGCAGGCCGCUACCGCCCCUCCCACGCUCACGCCGUUGCCCAUUCCAGACGCGAUGGCGAAUGCAGGCACGGCGACCGUGGCCUCGCGCGGGCCAGCGUCUUCACAGAGACUCAGUCGUGAAGACAGCAGUGACGGCGUCUCUGCCUUUACGGCGCUGACAGUGGCACCUGCAUCUGUGGAGCACGCGGGGGCGCGAAACACUUCCAUUAGCGCAUCGACGAGCCUGAUGAGUGCCAACACUUUCGUUUGCACCCCCCUCAUUUCUACCAUCACGACAACGCUGACGCCGCGCACGCUGGCGCGCCAGCGCCGCCAUGUCCAGAACCAGAUUAGGGAGCUCCGUGGCGGCGCGGCGGAGGGAGGGGACCACAGCACUGCCGACGAGCAUCAGCUGCUGCAGUUCCGCUGCACGCUGCUCGAGCUGGAGCUACAGGCGAAGGAGACAGCGCACAAGGCGGAGAAGGAGGCGUGGGAGGCGGCGGUUCAUCACGCGGAGGGCGUCGCAGGUGCCAUGGGCGAGGUCGAGGCCCGUGUGAGGCAGGCCGUCGCCGCCUCGGAGAAGGCCGGGCACCUCUUGCAUGAAAUGAGCCGACUAUGGAGCCAUUCCCUUGCUCUAGACGAGGACGACAUCAGUGACGAUGGUGGCGAGGCAGCAGCGAGUGCAACGAGGCUUCCGGUGAUGGAUGAGGAGCAGACCUUUUACCCCCAGCGCUCUCGCGACGAGACCCCGCUGUACUGACGGCAACACCAGCAGCCGAACCCGUCUAGUGUCAGCAGUUGACGUGGUGGCCAUCGAAGUCGCAGAGCGGCAGGAAAGCUCAAUGAGAGGGAGGGGGUGUCGACGCGUCUGCUGCCUGAAGACGAUGAGCGCAGCCCCGAGGACCAAGCACUUCUUUGUAUGUAUGCGCCGUCCCAUCACUGCAAUUCCGAAUACGCAAGCCUACACGCAGACACCCACUUAUGCACAGGACCAAACGCGCGCGCGAUACGCCUCGUGUUGUGCCUCCGUCACCUGUGCCCCUGACCUUGGCAAUCCUGCUCUCCGUCCGGUGUGGAGUCCUUCCCAAGUCGCGAUCUUCCUCCCUUCGUACUCUUGCCUCCGUCUUUCAGCAGGCCAGUUUGAUGGAGACGAGCGUGGGAGUACGGCAAUGCAACAGCUGCCAGCGUUGCUUUCCUCCCUCUUGCGCGCUCUCUUACUUGCUUCGUUUUUAAUACUGUGUUGCCUUCUCCCGCGCAUUCAUGCGAUGAUACGGGCCGACCACGGGCCAGCAGCAGCAGCGGGCGUCAAGCGCGUCUCACUCUCGCGCUCUUCGUCUCUGUGCGCGUGCUCCACAAAUACAAAACUACAGUGCCUGGAGUUUUGUAUUUGUCUGCGCGCUUCAUUCUCUGUACCUGUGGACGGCCACAAGCAACUAUACCAGGUGGUAGGGAGGCGAAGGAGAGGGAAGGGUUUGUGUGAAGGGGGAGGAAGAGAGGCAGAGACACAGUGGGCUGCGUCUGCAUUGACGCGCACACAUCUACACGAUUAGCCGAAGCAGCGACAUGCAGCCGUCUUCUCUUGUUCUUCCACCCCUCGGCUUUUGGGCUUGGGGCCAUCAGUGGAGGAUGCGCCUGUUCGGUGCCCGUUGCCUCGCCGUCUCACCCCUCCGUUGCAAGGGUCUCUCUCUGUCUUCUACUCUGCCAGCGCAGAUCUCUUUGCGUGAUGCUGCGCCGGUGAUCCGCCGUCCCCUCCAACUACUGCAAACUCGGCGGUGCUCCUCUGACGUAUUUCCUAUUCGCCUGUUUGCAUCCCUCAGCACCACUAUCGUUCCCUUUGCUGCUGUGCGCGUGACUGUGCUCGCGUGCAGUGGUGGGAGGCGUAGUGCAGCGGCGCUCGGGUGCCGCUCAUGGAUGACCUCUUUGCGGUCUUCCACCUCUUUUCUCUUCCUCCCACUCCUUAUGUGUGCCCACCCUCUCCCAUCACACUCUCACCCGUCGUUUCGCCUUUCCUGCCUUCUCUUCUCCCGAACCCGCAUCUGUAG